RNAcentral lists this ribosomal RNA (835 nucleotides) under Chaetothyriales sp. TRN107. RNAcentral's name for it is "SSU rRNA". It matches the Rfam family "Bacterial small subunit ribosomal RNA", at positions 370 to 1209 of the family's 1533-position model. Lineage: Eukaryota; Fungi; Ascomycota; Eurotiomycetes; Chaetothyriales. The record is from RNAcentral.
AAUGGCCUAACGGCUGAACCAGCAAUUUGGAAGAAUUAGGUAGAUGUGAUUAUUAAUUAAUCAUCCAGAGCACUGGCCCGAACGUUGUUUAUUUUUAGGGAGAAAAGAACAACAAGUAAGCGAGCGAUUUAUAUAUAUACCUAAACGAGAAAUUCGUAGAAUGUUCUAGAUAAAGAAUAAUAAUGACCAUUUUUAUCUAUAAGUCUUGGCCAAAUUACGUGCCAGCAGUCGCGGUAAUACGUAGAAGACUAGUGUUAUUCAUCUUUAAUCGGUUUAAAGGGUACCUAGACGGAAAAUCAAGCCUUAGUCGGUACUAAUUUUCUAGAGUUUUAUGGAAGAAUGUCGAAUUUCUAGAGGAGAGUCAAAAUUCAUUGAUACUAGGAAGACGGGUAACAGCGAAGGCGUCAUUCUAUGUAAAAACUGACGUUGAGGAACGAAGCCUUGGGUAGCGAUAAGGAUUAGAUACCCUAGUAGUCCAAGGAGAAAAUAAUGAGUGCCAUAGACUAGUUAAUUUUAGUUUAUAAAUGAAAGUGUAAGCAUUCCACCUCAUGAGUAAAGCGGCAACGCCGAAAUUGAAAUCAUUAGACCGUGUCUGAAACCAGUAGUGAAGUAUGUUAUUUAAUUCGAUAAUCCGCGAAUAACCUUACCACGUUUUGAAUAUUUUAUUUUUAAUAUCUUACAAGCGCUGCACGGCUGUCUUCAGUUAAUGUCGUGAGAUUUUGGUUCGUUCCUUUAAUUAACGAAAUCCCCUGUUUUAAUUUCUAUUUAAAGCAACUUACCGCUAGAUUUGGUAGGUCAAGAGGGAACAAGACAAGUCACCAUGGCCUUAAUAACG